RNAcentral lists this ribosomal RNA (251 nucleotides) under uncultured Fusobacterium sp. Its description in RNAcentral is "partial 16S ribosomal RNA". It matches the Rfam family "Bacterial small subunit ribosomal RNA", at positions 89 to 339 of the family's 1533-position model. The record is from RNAcentral. Lineage: Bacteria; Fusobacteriati; Fusobacteriota; Fusobacteriia; Fusobacteriales; Fusobacteriaceae.
GUUUGGGUGGCGGACGGGUGAGUAACGCGUAAAGAACUUGCCUCACAGAUAGGGACAACAUUUGGAAACGAAUGCUAAUACCUGAUAUUAUGAUUAUAUGGCAUCGUAUAAUUAUGAAAGCUAUAUGCGCUGUGAGAGAGCUUUGCGUCCCAUUAGCUAGUUGGAGAGGUAACGGCUCACCAAGGCGAUGAUGGGUAGCCGGCCUGAGAGGGUGAUCGGCCACAAGGGGACUGAGACACGGCCCUUACUCC